GGUGAUACAGUGAGUUAGAAACCGAAAGUAAGUUAAACUGGUGCCGUUCUACACGGAGAGAAGACUUCAGAGACAGGAAGCCUGCAGACACCAGCGCUUUGAGUUCACUCGAUUCUUGUGAGCUCACUCUGGAUCCAAACACAGUACACAGAGAACACUCUCUGUCUGAUGAGGACAGAAAGGUGACAAAUCUGGGAUCUUCACACUCGUAUCCUGAUCAUCCAGAGAGAUUUGAUGUCUAUGGGCAAAUUUCGGUGUAGAGAAAGUCUGACUGGACGCUGUUACUGGGAGGCUGAGUGGAGCAGGGGGAGAGGAGCUGAAGUAGCUCUGACAUAUAAAUCAAUCCAGAGGAAAGAAGACGGUGCUGACUGCAGGUUUGGACAGAAUGUAAAGUCCUGGAGGCUGGACUGCUCUGAUAGCAGUUACUCUGUCUAUCACAAUAAUGACAGCACUGCUGUCCAGGCUGCUCCCUCCAGCUCUAAUAGAGUAGGAGUGUAUGUGGACUGGCCAGGGGGCACUCUGUCCUUCUACAGAGUCUCCCCUGAUACACACACACUGACUCACCUAUACACAUUCAACACCACAUUCACUGAACCGCUCUAUGCUGGAUUUACUCUAUGGCGUGAUUAUCCUGGCUCGUCAGUGCAUGUGUGUGAGAUAGAAUAGCCUCCUAUGUGUGUUUGUGUGUCCUCUACACAAACAACUAAAGCUCAUGAACAUCACAACACACAGUUACAACAAGGAAAACUAGACUGUCACACUCUGUCUCUGUCUAUCUCUCUCUCUGUCUCUGUCUCUUAAAUUUAAUUAAAUGGAUAUGUUUAUGGUUUUAACAGCAAUAAUUAAAUAGUUGCAGGCAGCAGUAUCAUCAGGAGGAUCAGUGGCAGGUGUAGCUUUCUGCACAGCAUUAAACAGCAGGAUGCACCAUGGUGGUCAAACUGGUGGUCCUAUUAACCCUACAACUGACAUAUCGCCACAAUGUUCUUUAUGUGAGUUGGAAUUGGCGACUGUCACUCAGAAAAAUAUAAUUAAAAAUAGUGAAAAUAAUAAAAAUGUAAAAGUAAGUAAAAGUAAAUAAAUAAAUAUCACUGUUUUGUAACUGUAUAUUGUCAAAGAAAAAUCUCCUUACUUUUAUUCCUAUCCUUGCACAAAUUAAUUCCUAUGAGAUAUUCUUACUGGGCCACUUUUCACAUUCACUAUUGUCUACUAUUCACUAGACAAUAUUGUACUAUCGUCUAGUGUUAAGGCACUGGAUCUUUAGACUGUUCUGUACUAUUGUCAUUAUUGUACUACUGUACUAUUGGAUUACUGUACUAUUGUACAGUACUGUACAAUUGUCAUUCUGUACUAUUGUCAUUUAUUUAUUGUAAAAUGUCAUUAAUUCAUUUAUUUACUCUUAUUUCUUUAUGUUUUCUGUGAAUUGUUCCUACAAUAUGCAGUAAUUUAUAGCUGGUAUUGUACCUUUGCCCCUACACAUGCUGCUUUAAAUAGAAGGGUUUUUUAUUAAUAUGUAAAUACAAAGACAGAAAUGCUGUCUAUAGAAAGGGCUCUUUGGUUUGGUUUGAGCUGCGCCCACAGUGUUCAUCUGUGGAGUCUUUUAUUUUGAAAGCAUGUUUCCGAUGACGUUGUUGCACAACGGAUAAAUCUACCCUGAAUGUGGAAUUGCAGGCUGCUCCAUUGAUAGUAUAUAUAUACUGGACCCAGUCAUCCCACUGUUUUCAAUGGGGUCCAGGUGAGGUCAGUCUUCUCACUUCCUGAUCAGAUUCUCAUGCAGAGGUCAGUGGGAAUGCAUGAGACUGCACAGGCGCCUUAAUGACAACUUCUACUGUGCAGUUCAAAUUACCACACUGAGUGUGGGAGCUGCCCAGCAAUGAUCUGUGAAUGUGUUGGAGGAACAAAAAGUAUCACAACCAUUCAGCACUACAGGACACUUUCACCAAAUAACUAAUUUUUAGUUACUACUUCCUAAUAAUGAUCAUUAUUAAAUAAAUAAAUAGAUAAAUAAAUGCGUUAAUAAUGAUUAUAUUAAUACUCACUAUUUAAUCAAUUAUUUCUUUAUUUUGCAAUGAUAAUAAUUGUACAUAAUUUAUAUAGUAUUCAUAAUUAUUAUUUUACAAUCCAAACAAAGCAUAAGUAAAAUUAAAUUCAUUCACUACUGAAUAAAUACAUAAAUAAUAAAAACAAUAUAUUCAUGAAAAAAACACAGUUAUUACAAUGUCUUUACUCACUCUAUGAAAUCAUGUACUGUGAGUGCCUGUCUCUAUUGUUUUUUUUGGUGCACUACACAACAUCAAACACUGCAUUUUGAUUAAAUUGCCAUUGUUAAGAA
Molecule: long non-coding RNA, 2329 nt
Organism: Colossoma macropomum (tambaqui)
Lineage: Eukaryota; Metazoa; Chordata; Actinopteri; Characiformes; Serrasalmidae
Exons: 2
Source: RefSeq, a predicted model, not a curated record